Molecule: long non-coding RNA, 699 nt
Filed under: Pan troglodytes (chimpanzee)
Lineage: Eukaryota; Metazoa; Chordata; Mammalia; Primates; Hominidae
Description: long non-coding RNA NONPTRT006584
Source: RNAcentral
UUGUAUUUGUUGUAGAGACACGGUCUCACCAUGUUGCCCAAGCUGGUCUCAAACUCCUGGGCUCAGGCAAUCCUCCUGCCUCCGCCUCCCAAAUUGCUGGAAUUACAGAUGUGAGUCACCACCUUUAUCUCUUUAUCUCUCUUUAUCUCUCUCUCUUUCUCUCAGGGAUCUUGCUCUGGGGAAAGCCAGCUGCAGUGUUGUGCGGGCUGCCUGAGGAAAGGUGCCCUCCGGAAAGAAAUGAUAUCUCCGCCCAACAGCAUGGUGGACCUGAGUCCUGCUACCAGCCACAUGAGUGCGCUUGGAAGCAGGUGGAGCCCAGUUGAGCCUUGAGGUGCCUCCCUCUGUGAGAGACCCCAAGCCAGAGACAUCCGGCCAAGAGGCACCCAGAUUCCUGCCCCACAGAAACUGACAUAAUAACGUUGUUUAAAGCCACUACAUUUGGAGGAUGAAUAGCCUUGGAAGAUAGAGAUCGUGUCUCCCUCCAGAGCAAAGGGCAGAUUAGCUUCAAUGAUGACAGAAGAUCCCGGUUCCCGGGCUCAGAGCUCCGCUGCUGUAACGUAAGCCCUUCUGUCCUCAUGUCACCUAGAGCCUCUUCCUGUCACCCUGUGGGAAGUGAUUCUGAGGAAACCAGCACAAUUGCAAACACUCUGGCUACUGCUUUGCUGUGACUAAUAAACAUCCUUUGUCUUGUCUCUGGCC